RNAcentral lists this ribosomal RNA (253 nucleotides) under uncultured bacterium. Its description in RNAcentral is "partial 16S ribosomal RNA". It matches the Rfam family "Bacterial small subunit ribosomal RNA", at positions 524 to 776 of the family's 1533-position model. The record is from RNAcentral.
UACGGGGGGGGCUAGCGUUGUUCGGAAUUACUGGGCGUAAAGGGCUCGUAGGUGGCCAACUAAGUCAUGCGUGAAAUCCCUCGGCUUAACCGGGGAACUGCGUCUGAUACUGGAUGGCUUGAAUCCGGGAGGGGGAUGCGGAAUUCCAGGUGUAGCGGUGAAAUGCGUAGAUAUCUGGAGGAACACCGGUGGCGAAGGCGGCAUCCUGGACCGGCAUUGACACUGAGGAGCGAAAGCCAGGGGAGCAAACGGG